This 460-nucleotide ribosomal RNA is filed under the name uncultured bacterium. Its description in RNAcentral is "partial 16S ribosomal RNA". It matches the Rfam family "Bacterial small subunit ribosomal RNA", at positions 338 to 795 of the family's 1533-position model. The record is from RNAcentral.
CCUACGGGUGGCAGCAGUGAGGAAUAUUGGUCAAUGGGAGAGAUCCUGAACCAGCCAAGCCGCGUGAGGGAAGACGGCCCUAUGGGUUGUAAACCUCUUUUGUCGGAGAACAAAACCCGGGACGUGUCCCGGACUGCGUGUAUCCGAAGAAAAAGCAUCGGCUAACUCGGUGCCAGCAGCAGCGGUAAUACGGAGGAUCCGAGCGUUAUCCGGAUUGAGUGGGAUUAAAGGGAGCGUAGGUUGAUUUGUAAGUCAGUUGUGAAAGUUUGCGGCGCAACCGUAAAAUUGCAGUUGAAACUGGCAGUCUUGAGUACAGUAGAGGUGGUCGGAAUUCGUAGUGUAGCGGUGAAAUGCUUAGAUAUCACGAAGAAAUCCGAUGGCGAAGGCAUCUCACGAAUCCGCGAUUGACGCUGAUGCACGAAAGCGUGGGUAGCAAACAGGAUUAGAUACCCUAGUAGUC